This is a long non-coding RNA of Populus euphratica (Euphrates poplar), 219 nucleotides long. RefSeq lists it as uncharacterized. The transcript has 3 exons. The record is from RefSeq and is a predicted model, not a curated record. NCBI's taxonomy places the organism in Eukaryota, Viridiplantae, Streptophyta, Magnoliopsida, Malpighiales, Salicaceae.
AAUAAAACCCAAACCAAAACUUCUAGAGUCUAGGAAAAAAAAAGAAGGUCCCUUCAAAGGCAACGUUGACAUUUAAGAUCUCCAAAUGUAAUCACAGAUUUGCACCACAAUAUGUUCAAGUAUGAUCGUCUUGACUAGAAGCCCAAAUCAAAAAUGAUGUUUUAGUAAUAAAAAAAAUGAUGACAAAUUUAAGAUUGUUAUGAUGUGCAGAAUUUUUUC